Molecule: transfer RNA, 77 nt
Filed under: Bacillus subtilis QB928
Lineage: Bacteria; Bacillati; Bacillota; Bacilli; Caryophanales; Bacillaceae
Description: tRNA-Met
Rfam family: tRNA
About the family: Transfer RNA (tRNA) molecules are approximately 80 nucleotides in length. Their secondary structure includes four short double-helical elements and three loops (D, anti-codon, and T loops). Further hydrogen bonds mediate the characteristic L-shaped molecular structure. tRNAs have two regions of fundamental functional importance: the anti-codon, which is responsible for specific mRNA codon recognition, and the 3' end, to which the tRNAs corresponding amino acid is attached (by aminoacyl-tRNA synthetases). tRNAs cope with the degeneracy of the genetic code in two manners: having more than one tRNA (with a specific anti-codon) for a particular amino acid; and 'wobble' base-pairing, i.e. permitting non-standard base-pairing at the 3rd anti-codon position.
Source: RNAcentral
AUCGCGGGGUGGAGCAGUUCGGUAGCUCGUCGGGCUCAUAACCCGAAGGUCGCAGGUUCAAAUCCUGCCCCCGCAAC